AUGGUUAUGAAUAUGAACAUGGUAUCUCUGCCCUGUGCAAAAAGCAUAUUUACGUUUACGCACCUGGCGCUUUUCCCAAAAACGACUUCCAGCCUGCAGUGUCCCGAAGUGCAUCAGCAAGCGACGAAGAGCUUUAGACAAAGACAGUGGAUCCUGAAUCACGCUAACGGUGACGCACGUUCAGAGAGCGCACGCAAGUGGAUCCGAAGGAGGCGGUUAAGGCUCGGGCAAGAACGUCACUCUGGCCUCUGUGAAAAAGGUCAAAGCGCUGACACAGCCCUCUGCUCUCGUGGCCCACAGACCCCUGCUGCGAUGGAAGAAGCACUCCUCAAUGCCUUGAUGAACGGAGCCCUGCUCGUCGUGUCUGUGGCCAUGCUGGCCGGCCUGUGCAUCCGUUGCGGAGGCCCCUGGAACCGCACUUCCAUCCCUCAAAACCUGCGUGACGGAGACGCGAACGAACAGUACCAGCCGACGCCGGGAUUCCGGGUUGUACGACCAGCACCCACGGUGAUGUACCAGCCGCCCAUCCGCAGCUCAGGGUCUGGACAGUCCUCCAACCAACUGUACGCCACCUCUCCACUGCAGGCGAAUCGUCACUCCUCCUUCACGCCGACGAACGACGGAGAAAGUAUUCCCAGCUACGAGAAUCCUGGCUCCGAUCAAGAUGACUAUGUGAACAAAGACCCGGACGACAACCCGGACGACAACCCGGACAACUACAUAGAGGUGCUGCCGGACUCGGUGCCCAUCGUUUCCGUCAGUCUCUCGCAAAACAGCAUUCUGUCCGUGCAGAGCUCAGGUCACGAGGACUACGUGAACGUUCAGGAUGACAACUCUGACAACAACAGCGAGAACUACAUCAACAUGCCAGACCGCAAUGCCCCUGCCUUAACACCAGGGAUGUCGCACGAAAGCAUCGACAGCGAGGGCAACACCAGCGCCGACUACGUCAACACCAGCGUGUUCAUCGACGUCCCCGCCUCCAUCUGCUGAGACGAGAGCGAGCGAGGGGGGUGGGCCUCGAGCUGCAUGACAGUGUAGGGGUGUGUUUAGGCUUUUCUCGCACAGGCUGCAGGGUGGCAAACGGAGUUGCGUUUGGAACCACAGCAAGAUGCCCUGAGAUACCUUGGAAGGGUCACCACUGAGACCACGUUUCACCGAGAACAAAGCAGCCUUUCCCAAUACAACAGUACAUUUCACAGCUGACACAGAGGCUUCUGGCAACUACCCUUUUUAUUUUUAAAUCACAUGAAUUGCUGACGAGUCCUGAGAAUGUUUUAUGAUUUGUCACUUGAUUAUUACAAUGGGUCAUUUUCACCUUUUUUCUAUUUAAUGUUUAGUACCAUGUCAACAGAACAUUUUUGCUAUAAAUGUAAAUACCCUUGCGCUGAGUCAAAUAACUUUCAAGUUCAGACUGGUUUGAGCCCUUUACCUACAUUACCAGUGCUCCUUUGUAUUUAUGCGAUUAUCAUGUCAUUCCAGGAUUAACAUGUUGCAUACGUAUAUGUUUCAAAAGCACGCGUACAAAGCUGGGAGCUCUGGCUUUGUAUCGCGGGGAGGUGUGUCGAUGACCCCUGAUUGGCUCCGGUCGAAAAGCACACAAGGGUACGAACACUGAACACAGGUUGGGUUUUAGGACUGUUUUGUUAGGAUGUCAUUCGAAUUUUUAAAUAAACAUUUUCAUUGCGCCUGUUGGUUCCUGUGU
This 1705-nucleotide long non-coding RNA is filed under the name Scleropages formosus (Asian bonytongue). RNAcentral describes it as "lncRNA (ENSSFOG00015025593.1)". The record is from RNAcentral. Lineage: Eukaryota; Metazoa; Chordata; Actinopteri; Osteoglossiformes; Osteoglossidae.